CCCCUCUCUAAAAUCUUCCUGGAACAACAGAGCAGUACAAAAGAGAAGCAGCUGAGAGGGAAAAGGAUUCUCUUGAGCAAAAGAUUAAAGAACUGCUACAAAUGUUAGAGAACCAAGAAAGAGCCUUCAAGAUAUUUAGAGUCAAAAUCACAGGCGAGAUGAGAGAAAGAGACAACGUUCUGAGAAGGAUGAACAAGAGGAUUGAGAUACUGGAGAUCGUAAGAAAGAAAAUGGAAGAACAAGAGGAAUAUUACAGGAAGAAAGAGGAGCAGAUCAAAAGAGAGACAAGUGAGAGGGAAGAAGACCCUUCUGAGCGAAAGGUUAAACAGCUGCAGCGAAUGUUGGAGAGCCAAAAGAGAGGUUUGGAGAGACUAAGAGCCAGAAUGAGAAAGGAGAUAGGAGAAAGAGAGAAGACCUCAGCAGGUGCGGGGGAGAGUUCUGCUCGCGGUGGGGAGGGGAGGUUCUUGCAGUGCCCUGUGAGACU
RNAcentral lists this long non-coding RNA (484 nucleotides) under Moschus moschiferus (Siberian musk deer). RNAcentral's name for it is "lncRNA (ENSMMSG00000021580.1)". Lineage: Eukaryota; Metazoa; Chordata; Mammalia; Artiodactyla; Moschidae. The record is from RNAcentral.